AACGACCUUGGUUAAAUCAGCCGAGUUAAUCUUAAUCCGAGUCACAAAUCCCGCUGUCUCAGCUCCCCUGAGCUUAAGCGCUCCAAAACCGGUUCUUAGUCCCGACCCCUGAGAACCCAACCAAAACCGUCGGUUCUUUCUAAGUCCAGAGGCAGUGUUCCUUUCAAUCUUGGAGCUGUGGAACAACCGAGACUGACUGGUGGACCUGAAAUCUUUUUCGGAUCUCCCGACACAGACGCGCCCGAGUAGCAUGCGCCCGCUUCAGAGCUUUCCCGCUGCGUGGCUUGAUCUCUCUGACGCCCACCGCUUGACCCAGUCGCCGGCCGCGACAGGAUGGAUCCACGCGCCCUCCUCCCCAAUCGCAGCGGAAGUCCCUUUGCAAUCCUUUC
RNAcentral lists this long non-coding RNA (389 nucleotides) under Setaria viridis. RNAcentral describes it as "long non-coding RNA (SVIR_LNC002246)". The record is from RNAcentral. Lineage: Eukaryota; Viridiplantae; Streptophyta; Magnoliopsida; Poales; Poaceae.